UUGGUGGAGCCGUUGGCGCCAUUCUGAUCAUUUUGAUUAUCAUCAUUGUAGUCAUUAUCGUGUUCAAACGACGAAGGAAUAAUAGUCAUCCGUCUAAACAAAAAAACAUCGAGGACCAAUUUCAGGCACCAGUUGAUUUCCAAGACACGCCAUUAGAAGAAAAUAAGAGUGGGCACGCCUCCGUUUUGAACCCAGACCAAUCACCUCCAAGGAGCACAAGACCCAAACCAGCUGUAGCCGUCAAGCCCUUUGUACAGGAAACUAAAUCCUUAGACCUCGAUUCAACCGAUGGAUCUCCUGACAGAUCUAGCAACAAACCUCUUGGCACACGUCAACCAUUAUCCCUGGCUCAGUUUCCUACGUUCGUCAACAAGAACAGACACACCACGCUCUUCUCCGAGGAAUUUCAUGACUUACCUGGCCCAAACAUCUAUCCUCAGACCGUAGCUCAAGAGGAGAUCAACUUCAAGAAGAACAGAUACAAGAAUAUUU
Molecule: long non-coding RNA, 492 nt
Filed under: Strongylocentrotus purpuratus (purple sea urchin)
Lineage: Eukaryota; Metazoa; Echinodermata; Echinoidea; Camarodonta; Strongylocentrotidae
Description: uncharacterized LOC115925646
Source: RNAcentral